AUUUUUAGAAGUAAAUAAACCGCUAGAACACUACAAGCUAUACCCUUCAAACUCAAAGAAUUUGGCGGUGAUUUAAGCCCCAUUAGAGGAACCUGUUCAAUAAACGAUACACCACGCAGCAUCUUACCUAUCUCUCAAAGUAUGUAUACCAUCAUUAUCAGAUGACUCCCAAAAGACUAGUCAUUUUCCGUAGAUAAUUUAUCUAAUAUAUUAGAUCAAGGUGCAGCCAAUAGAUAGGAUUUUAUGGGUUACAAUAAAUCUUAUUUAUACGAACUUUUAAGUGAAAUCUUUUAAUGAAGGAGGAUUUAAUAGUAAAAUUUCUUUAAUAAGAUAAUUUGAUAAAGGACCUAAAUCAAGUACAUAUCGCCCGUCGCUUUCACCCAAAUGAAAUAAGUCGUAACAUAG
This 405-nucleotide ribosomal RNA is filed under the name Paragourretia sp. ULLZ. Its description in RNAcentral is "partial small subunit ribosomal RNA". It matches the Rfam family "Microsporidia small subunit ribosomal RNA", at positions 752 to 1279 of the family's 1311-position model. Lineage: Eukaryota; Metazoa; Arthropoda; Malacostraca; Decapoda; Ctenochelidae. The record is from RNAcentral.